GUAUAAUUAUAUCUCUUUUUUUUCAUGAAACUUCAGUCUUCACUUGGAUGAUGCAAAACACAGAUAGCAAUAACCAUUGUUUUGAUUAUGGAAGUGACAACACUUGUUGUAUCUAGGUGUGCACAGAAGCAGAAGGGAAAUAAGUAUCAUUAAAAGGAAGAAGAUACAAUGAUAGAAGAAAUGUUGGAAAGGAAUUGUCACUUCUUUUAGUAUCUUCCAAACACAGAAGUAUGACUAUAUUCCGUUCCAGGAUCAGAGCUGAAGUGUUUUGUCUGAAGGUGUACAAUAAAAGCUAAGUCAAAAACAGGAGAGGGAAAGGUUAAAUGUAAAUAGUGUAUGCUAAGAUGCAAGUAUAGUCCAGAAGUGAUUGCAGAUGAAUAAAGACAAAUAAAGAUGAAUAAAGAACA
This is a long non-coding RNA of Cygnus olor (mute swan), 407 nucleotides long. RefSeq lists it as uncharacterized. The record is from RefSeq and is a predicted model, not a curated record. Lineage: Eukaryota; Metazoa; Chordata; Aves; Anseriformes; Anatidae. The transcript is spliced from 2 exons.